UGGGGGGUCGUCUAAUGGCAGGACAGCAGCCUUUGAAGCUGUGAAUGAAGGUUCGAUUCCUUCCCCCCCAGCCA
RNAcentral lists this transfer RNA (74 nucleotides) under Patescibacteria group bacterium. RNAcentral describes it as "tRNA-Gln". It matches the Rfam family "tRNA". From Rfam's summary of the family: Transfer RNA (tRNA) molecules are approximately 80 nucleotides in length. The record is from RNAcentral.